RNAcentral lists this small RNA (127 nucleotides) under Marmota monax (woodchuck). The record is from RNAcentral. Lineage: Eukaryota; Metazoa; Chordata; Mammalia; Rodentia; Sciuridae.
GCUGGGUGCAGUGGUGUAUGCCAGUAAUCCCAAUAACUUGGGAAGCUGAGGCAGGAGGAUCACAAGUCCAAAUCCAGCCUCAGCAACUUAGAGAAGCCCUAAGCAAUUCAGGGAGAUCCUGUCUCUA